Molecule: long non-coding RNA, 269 nt
Filed under: Solanum melongena (eggplant)
Lineage: Eukaryota; Viridiplantae; Streptophyta; Magnoliopsida; Solanales; Solanaceae
Description: long non-coding RNA (SMEL_LNC000107)
Source: RNAcentral
AUCCAAUCCAUCUUCCCUGGCCUCCCCAACACACUCUUGAUACGAAAGAAACCUCCCGCCAUAGAGAAGAAAUCGAAAGUCUGGGUCCCCUCGAUCACCCUCUUUCUCCCUGUAGGUCGAGCUGAAUUACAUCCUCCCUCUCACCUGAACUGGUCGAGAGAGAUGAACCCGCACCACAUUUUUUCGAAUCGAAAGCCCCAACUAGAGAUGGAAUUCCAGAACCUAAACAACUCAGUUGAGAGCUCCGUGACUGGUUCAAGGGAAGGUCA